GACAGAGGUCCCGAGCGUUGUUCGGAUUCAUUGGGCGUAAAGGGUGUGUAGGAGGUCGGGUAAGUCAGGUGUGAAAUCUCGGAGCUUAACUCCGAAACUGCGCUUGAUACUGCUCGGCUAGAGGAUCGGAGGGGGUAACGGAAUUCAUGGUGUAGCAGUGAAAUGCGUAGAUAUCAUGAGGAACACCGGUGGCGAAGGCGGCUUCCUGGACCGACACUGACGCUGAGGCGCGAAAGCUAGGGGAGCAAACGGG
This 253-nucleotide ribosomal RNA is filed under the name uncultured bacterium. RNAcentral's name for it is "partial 16S ribosomal RNA". It matches the Rfam family "Bacterial small subunit ribosomal RNA", at positions 524 to 776 of the family's 1533-position model. The record is from RNAcentral.